RNAcentral lists this ribosomal RNA (472 nucleotides) under uncultured Pelotomaculum sp. RNAcentral's name for it is "bacterial SSU rRNA". It matches the Rfam family "Bacterial small subunit ribosomal RNA", at positions 910 to 1382 of the family's 1533-position model. Lineage: Bacteria; Bacillati; Bacillota; Clostridia; Eubacteriales; Desulfotomaculaceae. The record is from RNAcentral.
UUGACGGGGCCGCACAAGCGGUGGAGCAUGUGGUUAAUUCGACGCAACGCGAAGAACCUUACCAGGGCUUGACAUCCCCUGACCGCGUAUGAAAGUACGUUUUCACCCUCGGGUGACAGGGAGACAGGUGGUGCAUGGUUGUCGUCAGCUCGUGUCGUGAGAUGUUGGGUUAAGUCCCGCAACGAGCGCAACCCCUACGUUUAGUUGCUAACGCGUGAAGGCGAGCACUCUAGACGAACUGCCGUUGACAAAACGGAGGAAGGUGGGGAUGACGUCAAAUCAUCAUGCCCCUUAUGUUCUGGGCUACACACGUGCUACAAUGGCCGGUACAGACGGACGCAAAGCCGCGAGGUGGAGCAAAUCCGAAAAAGCCGGUCUCAGUUCGGAUUGCAGGCUGCAAUUCGCCUGCAUGAAGUCGGAAUCGCUAGUAAUCGCAGGUCAGCAUGCCGCGGUGAAUACGUUCCCGGGCCUU